This 253-nucleotide ribosomal RNA is filed under the name uncultured bacterium. RNAcentral's name for it is "partial 16S ribosomal RNA". It matches the Rfam family "Bacterial small subunit ribosomal RNA", at positions 524 to 776 of the family's 1533-position model. The record is from RNAcentral.
UACGAAGGGGGCUAGCGUUGCUCGGAAUUACUGGGCGUAAAGCGCACGUAGGCGGCUUUCUAAGUCGGGGGUGAAAUCCUGGAGCUCAACUCCAGAACUGCCUUCGAUACUGGAAAGCUCGAGUCCGGGAGAGGUGAGUGGAACUGCGAGUGUAGAGGUGAAAUUCGUAGAUAUUCGCAAGAACACCAGUGGCGAAGGCGGCUCACUGGCCCGGUACUGACGCUGAGGUGCGAAAGCGUGGGGAGCAAACGGG